This 455-nucleotide ribosomal RNA is filed under the name Oribacterium sp. oral taxon 102. RNAcentral describes it as "bacterial SSU rRNA". It matches the Rfam family "Bacterial small subunit ribosomal RNA", at positions 28 to 485 of the family's 1533-position model. Lineage: Bacteria; Bacillati; Bacillota; Clostridia; Lachnospirales; Lachnospiraceae. The record is from RNAcentral.
GAUGAACGCUGCGGCGUGCCUAACACAUGCAAGUCGAACGGGGUUCUAUAUCGGAAGUUUUCGGAUGGAAGAGAUAGGACCCAGUGGCGGACGGGUGAGUAACACGUGGGUAACCUGCCUCAUAGAGGGGGAUAACAGAGAGAAAUCACUGCCAAUACCGCAUAAGCACACGGGAUCGCAUGAUCCAGGGUGAAAAGAUUUAUCGCUAUGAGAUGGACUCGCGUCUGAUUAGCUGGUUGGCGGGGUAAAGGCCCACCAAGGCGACGAUCAGUAGCCGAUCUGAGAGGAUGGCCGGCCACAUUGGGCCUGAGACACGGCCCAGACUCCUACGGGAGGCAGCAGUGGGGGAUAUUGCACAAUGGAGGGAACUCUGAUGCAGCAACGCCGCGUGAGUGAAGAAGUAUUUCGGUAUGUAAAGCUCUAUCAGCAGGGAAGAUGAUGACAGUACCGAAUAA